GAGUUGAAAUAUUAUAAGCGUUGGGAGGAUUCUGCUGAAAAUGUGUUAGAAAGUGAUGAUGCGUCCUCAUUGGUUAUAAGGGUGCCGACGUAUACCAGUUUGUUAGAGGGGUGCUGACGGAGCAGACAUGUUAUUUCUUUGAAUGUGGUGGACAACACAGAGUGCGUUGGCAAAAACAUACCAUGGUAAUGUCAGAGCCUUUUUUGCGUCAGCAAAUUUGUGUGAUCCCAUCCUGCCGAGUUAGACGUAUGUUGGUUAGGUGCACUUUGAUUACCUAUGUCAUCGGAGUGUCAGUGACUCGAUCCUUUGUUUGCAUUCUAUGAGCGGUCGAGAAUUAGUUCUCGGUCUUUCAUGUGUCGUAAGAAUGUUCGAUUAUUAUGUAUUUUAACUGUUUGUAGAUUGACUGGGUGUUCGGUUUUACCCCUUUGUGUGUUUUGUUUGUGUAAAACGGGCUUUUUUUAUA
Molecule: long non-coding RNA, 463 nt
Organism: Mercurialis annua (annual mercury)
Lineage: Eukaryota; Viridiplantae; Streptophyta; Magnoliopsida; Malpighiales; Euphorbiaceae
Exons: 2
Source: RefSeq, a predicted model, not a curated record